Labeo rohita (rohu) is the source of this 4251-nucleotide long non-coding RNA. RefSeq lists it as uncharacterized. The record is from RefSeq and is a predicted model, not a curated record. Lineage: Eukaryota; Metazoa; Chordata; Actinopteri; Cypriniformes; Cyprinidae. The transcript has 3 exons.
CUCCGGCUCCGCCCUGGAGGGCUCCUGCGCCUGUUUCACAGACUUCUUUGUGCCUAGCCCUGAUAUCUGUUUACUGUUGUUUUGACCCUGCCUGUUCGACCAUGUCUCUGUCUCGUCCCUUCAAUAAAAGCUUGCAUAUGGAUCCGCUCGCCUCUCGCCUCUCACUCUCUGUUACAUUAUCAUUAUUAAAACCCCCUGGGGUCGAAAAACGCACCGGCGCAGUUUGUGGCCGUUUUUCUGAUAAUGUCAAAAAGAACUUAAAUUACUCCAUCAUUUUUGAUCGUGCAGAUAAGAGCAAUACAUCAAUGGAAUCUGUAAGGAAUUCACUUUUAUUUGUGUACACUCAUAAUAACAACAACACUCUGUGGUUUUGUGAAAUAAAGCAAACAAACAGGGUAUGCAGUCUGCUGUGUUGUUCUCUGUGAUUGUCAUUAAGAAAUGCCUCACUAAAAUGAACUAAAACUCAGCGAAUACUCAGAGACGAGAGAGAUAUCUAUAGAAAGCCUGAUAUGUCUACUUUUAAAUGGAGUAAGUCUUAUCGAAAACAAAUAUCAUGUGUUAAAGUAAUCUGUAUGAAACCAACCCCAUGUCCAGUCUUUCUCCUCAGACCUAAUUAUUUUUAAUUUGAUCACGCCCACAAGCUACUUUCGGUUUGUUAUUAUAAUCAGCCACGUGGAGGCGCAAGCGGCGAACAGCCCACAUCAACGUAAACAAAGCGGGAGACUUCACUUCAUUGUUUAUCUCGGCUACUUCAUCUUGUUACUGGAAGAAGACGCGCUGUGAGGAGAAAGAUUUCCCUCAGAAGAAGAGCACGAUGCGACGCACGGCGAGAUCCACCGAAAGAGUAAGUCUUUCUUUUAUUAGCCUACUUACGUUAGUUGUUGUGUUACUGUGAUAUAACUUGUAGACAUUAUAGUAGUUAGAUUUUUUUCCAAACUAUACCCACCCAGCACCAGACGUCAUUUGGACGUCGUUUUUUGGGGCUAAAUCACGUCGGCCCGUCAUGGACUUCUUUUAGCCCAAAAAUCGACGUUGAAAAUUGGUGGUUGUUUGGUCCGUCGGAUUUAGUCCUAAUUUAGCCCAAAAAUCGACGUCGAAAAGUGGUCUUUGUUUGGUCCAUCUAAUUUUGGUCCAAAGUUGCCCUAAAAUCAACGUUGAAAAUUGGUCAUUGUUUGGUCCGUCGAAUUUAGUAGUAAUUCACAUCCGGGAUAUUUCCUCGUGUGCGCGCCUCACUCAUUUGAAAUACUUUUUACAGACGCCAUUUUCUUUCCUCGCGAUGCGGAGCAUAUGAGGAUGGGAAACAACGAAAUAAGGUGUUUAAUCUUAACUAAACUAAACUUUUCUCAAAUACAUUUUUUUCCACUCGCCAUGCGGAACAGACGAGAGCGCUGUGUAAUUAACGUUACCCCUAAACUUUUUCUCAGAGAGGUAACGGUAUUUCCUUUCACUCGCGAUGCGGAGCAGACAGGGCAGUUCGUUUUUAUCAAGGAAAACACAGAAAAUAAGUGUUUUACCUCAUUUACAUUAUGUAUAAUAAUUAUGACCACCAUAUUUCUGUGUUGUGCUCUCCUGAACUUUUUCUCAGAGAUAUUUUCUUUCAAUCACGAUGCGGAGCAGAUGGGAAAGUUGGUUUUAUUAAGGAAAAGUGUUUUACUUAAUUUACAUUAUGUGUAAUAUUACUGUAUGAUGAUAUUAAUAUGCUGUGUGCACCUAAACAUUUCUCAUAGAUCUGAAUUGCUAUGCAGUGCUGAGGUGGAGGUCACUUUUAACAGGGAAACACUAGAAGUAAGUGUUUUAUGUAAUUUAAAAUAUGUAUUUUAUAACGUCAUAUUGAUUUAUAGUGAUGUUUAUGUGCUGUUCUCUCCUAAACUUUUACUCAGAGAGAUAUUUUCUUUAAAUUACAACAUGGAGCAGACGGGAAAGUUGGUUUUAUAAAGGAAAAUGCCAAAAAUAAGUGUUUUACUUCAUUUACAUUAUGUGUAUUAUUACUUCAUGAUGAUAUGAAUAUGCUGUGUGCACCUAAACACUAGAAAGGAAAACACUAGAAGUAAGUGUUUUAUCUCAUUUAAAAUAUGUAUUUAAGUAAGUGUUUUACUUCAUUUACAUUAUGUAAUAUUACUUUAUGAUGGCAUUUAUACAUUCUGCAUGACAUCUGCUUGCUUUAAUGGGCACACACACUGAACAUUCAAGUCUGGAGCAGAAGGAGUUACCAUGGAAAUGGGGCGGAAACUCAACUGUCGAGCAGCAAAACACAUCUUCCACGGUUGUUUUCACAAAUUUCAGAAAUGGUUUAUUGUCUUCAGAAAAAGUCUGUUAGCAUCUGAACUGUAAUGCUAACUAUAAGAGUAUUAAGAACUAUAUUAACAUUACUUGCUGUUUUGCUUUUUUUUUUUUAUAAAGGUUUUGCAGGCAAUUUGUCAUUGGGUGAAAGGAAGUAAGCUAAUUUAUUUAACCUAGAAGUAUGCAAUAUACGGUUAAUCAGAUACAUAAGUACUUUAAGCAUGUUUUGACCUUUCAUGGUAAACAAAUAUUGAUUCCACUUGUCCUGUGACUUAAGCAGUUUCAGAAAAAAACUUCUACUGAUUUUAAAAUUUCUGAAGGGAGCUGCUGACAGAGAUAUAAAAAACACAGGUGAUCUGAGAAAGCUUAGUAAAUUACUUUAAAUGUAUCUUUCAUAAUAUAUUUAGCCUAUAUCACCAUGCAUAUGUAAUUUUCUUUUGCAAAAUUAUAUGUAUCUAUAUAUUUUAAUGUUUGUUUGCUUGUUAGAUAUUUUAAAAGGACUUUAACAUACAAACAUAAUGCAUUUUAAUGCUGUGUGUAAAUAUCAGUAGUGAUGCUGUACAGUGAGGAUGGAAAUAGUGUGUAGUGAGCCACUGUCUUUAUCAAUGUCUGAAUUUGUAAUCACAAUUUAUCAGUUCACAACCUAGCAAACUAUUAAGGUGAUUGAGACGCACCCUCUGUAUGGCAGUGGACUUUGAGGGCCAGAGUUGAGAAGAACCCCUGAUACACUAAUUAAUCACUCAUGGAGAAUGAUUACACUUUCAUUUGAACAGAAAUAUGUAAUUUUUGACUCAUAUUCAGUGAUGUUAUUAUUUUCUAUUCCUUUUUGUGUCAAUCACAGCUAAAUAAAACCAAAGUCCAUUCAGCUACAGGUGACUGCAUCUUUUGCUGUAUGCUGGAGAAAAAGCAGCCAGGCUGAAGCAUUUAAAGUGGAAACUUUUGUCGUGGCUCACAAUUCCAGGAUUGGGAUGGUGGAAGGAGCAGAAGAACCAGAAGACCAGAGAUCAGGCAGAGAUUUACUGAUGCCCCUGAGGGAACUGUUUAACUAAUGUGUUAAACCAAACAUUUUCAGCACUCAUCCUUCAUGUCUUUCCAAACCUGUAAAACUUUUGGAAAGGUAGUAAAGACUGCAUUAAAGUAAGCCAUGUGACUCCAGUUGUUUAAACUUAAUUUUAUGAAGUGAUGUGAAUGGUUUAUAUGCACAAAAAACAUUGCAUUUUUAUUCACACACACAAACAAAAAUCUUAUGGUGCUUUUGUGAAAAUGUGUUGGAGAUACCUAAUGUAUGAAUAAAGAUGUAAUUUUGUUGUUGCUGUUUUUUGCAUACACAAGGCAUCUGUUAAAAAAAUAUCUUUAUUUGUAUUCUGCACAAAAGUUUUUUAUGGGUUGAGUGACAUGAGAGUAAGUAAUUAAUGGCAAAAUUGGCAUUUUUUGGGUGAGAUGUGUUCUAAUGUGGUUAGAAUUGGUCAUUGUCCUGUGUUAUAAACAUUUUCAGUAUUUUCAAAGAUGUUUUGAAAAAUCAGUUUCAAAUAAAUACUGAAUGGAGUAAUUAUGAUGACAAUGUAGUUCACAUGAAUAAAUGACCUUUCACAAUGUAUUCAUAUAGAAAACAGUUAUAUUUUAGAAUUUUACUGUUUUUACGGUAUGUUUAAUCAAAUGCAGGCUUAAUUUGUGAUCAGGAAAGUGUUUUUUACUUGAAAGAUGUAUUUAAUGUGUCAAUAAAUGUUUUAGUACUCUUUUGUGAAUUGUUUAUUUUGAAUAUGAAAUGAAUAUAAUCAUGAAUUUACGGUUGAAAUUCGGCCUGAAAAAGACGUCUUUUUAACUUUCACUUUACAACCAUAUUUAGACGGAAUUUGGACGUCUUUUUAUAGACGUCUUUUCGUCUUUCACUUUUCGACCAAAUUUUCACGUUGUUUAGACGUCUGGCAUUGUCGUCCUUUCGACGUCUUUUCGACAAGUUUUUGCUGGGUG